Molecule: ribosomal RNA, 460 nt
Filed under: uncultured bacterium
Lineage: Bacteria
Description: partial 16S ribosomal RNA
Rfam family: Bacterial small subunit ribosomal RNA
Source: RNAcentral
CCUACGGGCGGCAGCAGGGAGGAAUAUUGGUCAAUGGACGAGAGUCGGAACCAGCCAAGUAGCGUGAAGGAUGACUGCCCUAUGGGUUGUAAACUUCUUUUAUAUGGGAAUAAAAUGUUCCACGUGUGGGAUUUUGUAUGUACCCUAUGAAUAAGGAUCGGCUAACUCCGUGCCAUCAGCCGCGGUAAUACGGAGGAUCCGAGCGUUAUCCGGAUUUAUUGGGUUUAAAGGGAGCGUAGGUGGGUUGUUAAGUCAGUUGUGAAAGUUUACGGCUCAACCGUAAAAUUGCAGUUGAAACUGGCAGUCUUGAGUACAGUAGAGGUGGGCGGAAUGCGUGGUGUAGCGGUGAAAUGCUUAGAUAUCACGAAGAACUCCGAUUGCGAAGGCAGCUCACUGGAGUGCAACUGACACUGAGGCUCGAAAGUGUGGGUAUCAAACAGGAUUAGAUACCCGUGUAGUC